This 253-nucleotide ribosomal RNA is filed under the name uncultured bacterium. Its description in RNAcentral is "partial 16S ribosomal RNA". It matches the Rfam family "Bacterial small subunit ribosomal RNA", at positions 524 to 776 of the family's 1533-position model. The record is from RNAcentral.
UACGAAGGGGGCUAGCGUUGCUCGGAAUCACUGGGCGUAAAGCGCACGUAGGCGGCGUCUUAAGUCAGUGGUGAAAUCCUGGAGCUCAACUCCAGAACUGCCUCUGAUACUGAGAUGCUUGAGUCCGGGAGAGGUGAGUGGAACUGCGAGUGUAGAGGUGAAAUUCGUAGAUAUCGGGAGGAACACCAGUGGCGAAGGCGGCGACCUGGGCCAAUACUGACGCUGAGGUGCGAAAGCGUGGGGAGCAAACGGG